CGCACUUGAACGGGCCGACCCAACUACACUGUGAACGACCGGUGGAGCUGUCGCUGUUGUUUUCGGUGUCAUUGUCACUAACCUGUCAAUGUCACCGGCAAUGAUGACCGACAAGCCGCCAAACCUUAAUGAUUAACCUACCACACAUGCGAAUAUGGAGACGGUGGAGCCUGUGAGUAUAGUGAGCGCGCGAUAAGGUCCCCCCAGUGAGAUGCCACAGGCCGCCAUAAUUGACACCCAAUGACUAGAGAAUACCAUUAUAUGUGUAACCUUGAACCCGACCGGUGGAGCUGUCUGUUAUUGUCGCCGACACUGACUGACAAGCCGCCAAAAGAUUUACCCGACCGUAAACACACCGAACGAUAUCAAACAGAGAGAGGGGCAUCACCCCUAACCUGAUACAACUUUUGGCAAUGGAUCUCUUGGUUCUCCCAUCGAUGAAGAACGCAGCGAAACGCGAUAGCUAUUGUGAAUUGCAUAACGUGAAUCAUCGAAAUUUUGAACGCACCUUGCGCUCUUUCGGUCUAAACCUCCGGAGAGCAUACCUGUCUGAGGGCCGCGAGGCCAUUCGAGUGGCGCUUGGACGAAAGUCUUGGAGCACCAGUCGGUUCUGAGGGCUGCCAUUCGCACUGGCUCCCUCGAAAUGCAUUAGCGGCGGCGACAUUUUGGGAUGCACGGCCGGGUACGAACCCCCUCUCCGUAGCGACGAUGAUAAUUAUCAGAAGUCGGUGCGUGAAGGUACUCCCGGACAUGCGAAACCGGUCGCAGACUGCUCAUAAACCUGCCCGGGUGGAGU
RNAcentral lists this ribosomal RNA (796 nucleotides) under uncultured fungus. RNAcentral's name for it is "eukaryotic LSU rRNA". The stretch from base 403 to 559 matches the Rfam family "5.8S ribosomal RNA". The record is from RNAcentral. Lineage: Eukaryota; Fungi.